RNAcentral lists this ribosomal RNA (399 nucleotides) under uncultured bacterium. Its description in RNAcentral is "bacterial SSU rRNA". It matches the Rfam family "Bacterial small subunit ribosomal RNA", at positions 405 to 793 of the family's 1533-position model. The record is from RNAcentral.
GUGAAGAAGGCCUUCGGGUUGUAAAGCACUUUCAGUCGUGAGGAAGGUACGUGUAGUUAAUAGCUGCAUUAUUUGACGUUAGCGACAGAAGAAGCACCCGGCUAACUCCGUGCCAGCAGCCGCGGUAAUACGGAGGGUGCGAGCGUUAAUCGGAAUUACUGGGCGUAAAGCGCAUGCAGGUGGUUUGUUAAGUCAGAUGUGAAAGCCCGGGGCUUAACCUGGGAAUUGCAUUUGAAACUGCUUGGCUAGAGUCCUUGAGAGGGGGUAGAAUUUCAGGUGUAGCGGUGAAAUGCGUAGAGAUCUGAAGGAAUACCGGUGGCGAAGGCGGCCCCCCUGGACAGAUACUGACACUCAGAUGCGAAAGCGUCGGGGAGCAAACAGGAUUAGAUACCCUGGUAG